Long non-coding RNA from Triticum aestivum (bread wheat), 3959 nucleotides. RefSeq lists it as uncharacterized. Lineage: Eukaryota; Viridiplantae; Streptophyta; Magnoliopsida; Poales; Poaceae. The transcript has 6 exons. The record is from RefSeq and is a predicted model, not a curated record.
CACGGGCCGCCCUCCUCCUUCCCCUGCGCCGGCCACCUAAAUCCAUCGCGCAGAUACCGCCGCAGCCCCAAAACCUAAACGGCGCCGCCGCUGUCGUCCCGCACUGGAUCGACCCGCCGCUAUCGCUCUGCUGCCGUGUACACGCGGUUCAACGCCUCAGCCCCAGGCCGUUCAAUGCCUCGCUGGCCUACGGCUCCUCCAUGGACGCCUAGCUCCUCUACUAGAGCCAUCGCGGCCCACGGCAGCCCAUGGUGGCGGAGUUCGUUGCGUCCAUCAGUCAAACCCCAUGGCUUCAGGGUGGCCGAGUUUUGUCGCCGCCGUCAGUUCGGACACCUGCGUCACUGCGUGUGUUGCUACCACGGCCAUUUGCUUCACUGUGUGCUCCGUCACCGGCCUCAUGCGCACCGUGACCCCUGGCGCACUCCUACCUCUCCCUGACACUGCUCAUGCCCUCCCAGGCUUGAUCUCCUGCUGCAGCAAUGAGCUCCUGUACAUUGCUGAAGUUUCGUACCUGACGGCACCAGCACGAGGAUGCAGCAGCCAGGCUGGACCCCAUGAACUGUGAUGCUCUACUGAUGGAGAGAAGUUUGGGAAACUGCACAAAUAUUGGUAUUUUGGAGUUAUGAAUUUGGUGCUCCGUAGGUGCCGGCUGGUAUAUGCAAGUCCUUAAAAGUAUUUAGGUGGGUGGUCCGACACCGUUGCGUCCAGCAGUCCAACACCGCCACCGGAGGGCGUUCACUGUUGCAAUGCCUACUUUCGCCCGCGCCUCCUUCCUAGUCAUCGUGAGACCUGACGGAAGAAGGCAGAACCUCUCUCUCGUACGCAGUAAUAUUGCUCUCUCGUCUGGUAGGCAGUAAUAUUGCUCUCUCAUCUCUCAUCUCGUAGGCAGUAAUAUUUUGAUGAAUGUGUUACAAAACAAAUGUUGUAUUGACAUUCAGUAACUUAGAGAGUGUAGCACAGAGAAACGUUGUUGUGUUGUGGAUGACAAAGAACACAGGUGAUAGCAAGUCCAGGUAUUACUACAUGGGGAGUACAAAACUACUUUUACUGAGAGAUCACUUGAAUCCUUGAUAGCUACUAGCCAUAGGAACUUAACCCAAAAAAAUGUGCAAAAAAGAAACAUUUUGUACUACCAUUAGUCAUCGAUGGCGUGUAAUGUUAUAUUUUCUUGCUUCCCUAGCGUUGAAUUAGAACAACAUUUUCAAGAGCUGCAUUAGCUCAUUACUUAUCUCUUGUAUUGUUAAUUUUAUUUUCAAAACCAAACUUGUACUGGGUACAUGAGUUCCGAUAGUAGCUUCUCUUUCACAAAUUUUACAUAAUCAAGCAUUCUUGAUGUGGUGCCUUUCUUCCAGAUAUAUAGAUUCAGUUUUGAAUCCGAUUCUCAAAUCAGACAAUCAUAAUUCUAUUGCCAGUUCUGAAACAAAGAAAUGUUUGCGUAUCAGUCCCAUAAACAGCACCAAAACGAAUCCCCAUCCUUGGCAACUUGCUGGCUUUGAUCUUCCAGGGCAGCAUGAAUGAUCAGUACUCCCUUUAAUCAAUGCGCGCUAAUCAAGUCCCCGAAUGGAUGUGAACAGAGUAUACUCCCAUGGUUUUGCGAGAAAUCGUACAAUAAGAGUACCGUUCACUGUGUAUUUUAUCAUCAGUUAAAAAUAAUCACAGAAAAUACUCUGUUUAGUUCAUUGCACAUUGUAAAUGAUACUUAGUCAAUGCACAUUGUAUGUAACGGCACACCUAUUCGUUCAUUUUUUUCCACAUCGUAUUGCCUACUGACCAAUGAAGAAAAAAAGUGUUAAUUGGGCUGACAUGAGUUAUUUUCUUACUGGUCUGUGCCCAUGUUGGAACUAUAAUUUUGUUAGUUUAGCCAAUUUAAUGCCUUUGUAUGCAUCAUCUUCUAAAGACACAUCCUGCAAUAUGUAUUCAUUAUGAUCACAGUAAUGUUGUGGGUGAAAGCCUGAACCAGAAAUCGCAGCUAAGUAUCCUGGUGGUGGAUUAGAGGGGAGCAUGAAUCGCAUUGGACUUUGUAUAAAACACUGAUGUUUGGGCCAUUUCUUUCAGUAUUAGCUCAGAGCCGACAGUAUUACGACUUAAAGCUGCCUCUUCCCCACUGAAUAGUGCUCCAGUCACCUGUUAUGCUACCUGAGUUCUGAACUACUGUUAAUACUUGAGAGAUGUAAUUUAUGCUUUCAAGCUAUUAGAAGAAAACAUUAAAUUACCGCCUUAUAAACAAUUUAAAUAUGCAUGACCUGUUGGCUGUUGGCAAUUGUUCUGAACAUCAGACAGGUAGAGCAUUCAGCGCGCUCUAAGCUGAAGACAGAUAGUAAGGUCCUGUAAAAUUGGCAUCUAGUGUGUUCUUGCCUGAAACUCUUCAGUUGAAAGUGAUGCAGUGGUACAACAUAGAUGGGGAUUUAGUCUAGUGGUAUGAUAUUUGCUUAGGGAGCAAAAGGUCCCGAGUUCAAUUCUCGGAAUCCCCAUGUUGAAAACCCUUUUGCAAUGCCAUUUUGAGCUUUUGGUGCUCUGAGGAUAAGGUUUUGGACCACAGGGUUGAUGAGGUUCAUAGCCUCACUAUGCAUGGCCAUUCCUGUUCUGUAUCUUGUGGCUGUGCUUCAACUGGAGAAGUUUUCGGCUAUAUCUGCAUGCUGUUGCAAGUUAGCGCUGCUGCAGUGAUGGAGAAACAGUAUAGUAAACAUAACAUUUAUAUAGCCUACUUAUUAGUUGCUAGUAUAACUCAAAAGAUGAUCAAAAUGCUUUUGGUCUAGUGGCAUAAUUCUUGCUUAGUCUGACUGCCGUUAACACAUGCAAACGGUACUGUAAACAUAUUUAUAGAGAAUACUUAGUCAAUGGCGUGCGAUGUGAAUGGUACUGUAAAUGGUACUGUAAACACAUGCAAACGGUACUGUAAACAUUGUAAAUGAGCCAUAUAGACAGGACCUUAAUGCGAUGUGAUGAUACUUGGUCAAUGCACAUUGUAUGUAACGGCACACCUAUCCGUUCAUUUUUUUCCACAUCGUAUUGCCUACUGACCAAUGAAGAAAAAAAGUGUUAACUGGGCUGACAUGAGUUAUUUUCUUACUGGUCUGUGCCCAUGUUGGGACUAUAAUUUUGUUAGUUUAGCCAAUUUAAUGCCUUUGUAUGCAUCAUCUUCUAAAGACACAUCCUGCAAUAUGUAUUCAUUAUGAUCACAUAGGUAUGUUGCAACAGUUCGACUCUCAGAGCUAGUAAGUUCGACGAAAAAACAGCACAAGGCAUGUCAGUUCGUGCAGAGCAUUUCAGUCUUUCAGUUCGUGAGCUCGUCAGUUCACCGAUGGGAUCCGCAGGUCAGCCCCUCUUAUUUGAUGGCAAAGCCGAUGCUAUUUUUCAUCCAUUUUAUGAAGAAAACUGAACUUGGUCAGAGUAAGAACACAACUUCAGUUGAUGAUUGCGGGUUCAUCAUUCUCUACGAGGAUGGAUCUGCCUCCCUGCUGACGGAGUGUUGGCGAAGACAGCUAUGGAGAGGAAACUGUCGAUGGUGAAGAAUUGGGAGCCGGAAGAGCAAAGCCGACAGCAGGGCCGAGCAGAAGAUGUCGACAAUGCUGUUGGGUCAUGGGAGAACACCAAGCAGAAGGCGGUCCUUGACGUGAAGCUCUGAAUGCCAGAGGUCUCGACUCUGAAUCUGGACCUUGCUAGUCGCCUUUUUUGUGUUUGCUAGAUCGGUACUAGUGCUCAGUAGUACGACAAGUAGCAGUACUGAUCAGUACGACUUACACAAUACUAGUAGUGAUCAGUACUAUUUUUAAUGUUAAUAGUAAUAUCCAUACAGUAUUGAUGAGUCAUACUGACAAGGAUGCCGUCUACAAUUCUGAACUUAUUGUUGACUCGUACUAGUACUGAUGAAAUGGGAAGCAAGUGUCACAUGAAUCCUCAAUUGAAUGGGAAGGAAAGUUGCAAUGAGACCCUGGGAAAUCACUAUUUAUUCUAUCCUU